Molecule: small nuclear RNA, 106 nt
Organism: Sarcophilus harrisii (Tasmanian devil)
Lineage: Eukaryota; Metazoa; Chordata; Mammalia; Dasyuromorphia; Dasyuridae
Source: Ensembl
AUACUUGCUUUGGCAGUACAUAUGCUAAAAACUGGAACUAUAGAGAAAAUUAGCAUGGUUCCUAUGCAAGAAUGACAUGCAGAUUCAUGAAACAAAGUGAUAUCUU